This 460-nucleotide unclassified non-coding RNA is filed under the name Hevea brasiliensis (rubber tree). Lineage: Eukaryota; Viridiplantae; Streptophyta; Magnoliopsida; Malpighiales; Euphorbiaceae. The record is from RNAcentral.
ACAUCCAGCGAGGUGAGUGUCAUUUCUAUCCAGCCAAACUGUUCCAGUUACAUGUACAAUCAUGCCAUAACCAAUGUGCUGCUUGUCCUUAGAAUCUUCCUCACCGAAUAGAAUGCGAAGGCGAGCAGCGAAGAGGCCGGUAGGGUCUAGAGCGGCUUCAUGGAGUAGGCCUCGCUUGAUGUUGUUCAAUCGAUAGAUUAGGGGUUGCUGCUCUUGCUUAACUUCCUGAAGGUCGUGGAUACGGUACUUUUGGCUUAAAGAUCUGAUGCUCAAAAGCAAUAUUCCUGUCAUUGCGAGGAACUGGAUGGAAACUGUCUUUGUGCUUCAUUGCGUUUGCUACAAACCCUAAAGGUUUUCCAGAGUUUUGAGCGGCAGUGGUACUGCCUGAGCCCGGUGGCGAUGAGGAUGCCAUACCGCCAAAAUACGUCUGCUGUAUGCGAAACAGAGAGGUAGACCAAAG